Drosophila suzukii is the source of this 1826-nucleotide non-coding RNA. The record is from RefSeq and is a predicted model, not a curated record. NCBI's taxonomy places the organism in Eukaryota, Metazoa, Arthropoda, Insecta, Diptera, Drosophilidae.
CCAUCUCUACUGCGCGGUGCGAAACAAAGUCGUAUAAAAUGUAAGUACUAAUUUAAUUCAUAUUACCAAUUUAGUGUUCGUUGCUGGUGGUGUUGGUGUUGGUUGUUAAGUGGAGGACAUGGACAGAUAUCUAAAAAUUUGUUCUUUUUAGGAGCAGCAGAUGAAAAUGUGGAGGACCCAAAAAAAAAAGAAACGCGAUGUUUCGGUGGCAUGGGACCACUUUAAGAAAACUGUUGAAAAAACGCAUGGAAUAUGCAACUUCUGCGGUAAAGCUAUAAAAACAGCAGGAAACACAACAAACCUUCUUGACCAUCUGAAGCAUGUUCAUCCUGAUCGCCUUAAAGACGGAAAAAGCCAGCAGACCAAUACAAUGGAUGUUUAUGUCGGAAGCCUCCGUUUUUUUACAACAACGAUUCCACUCGGAAACGUUGUCUGGAUAUGAAGGUGAUGCGUAUGAUAGCUGUCGAUGUCCAACCCUUCAGUUGUGUUGAGGAUGAAGGAUUUAAAGAGCUGAUGAAGGCAAUGGACCCACGCUACAAGUUGCCCAGCAGAUCACAUUUGCGCGAUGUAGUGCUUCCAAGCCAGUAUGAGGAGUUAAAAAACAAACUGUAUGUAAUAUUGGCCAAUGUGGAUUUUCUGGCAUUAACCACUGAUAUGUGGACAUCAAGGGCCAAUGAAGGCUAUAUAACUAUAACAUGCCAUUUUGUGUCGAAUAACUUUAAAUUAGAGUCUGAAAUAUUAGCAAAAAGGCAGCUGCUCGAUUCCACCAAUCACACCGCAUCAAAUAUUGCUAAAACCAUGAAGGCGGUGCUCCAAGAUUGGGGGGUGACAAAUAAGGUGGUAUGUAUAGUAACCGACAAUGAUGCUACCAUGGUAAAGGCAUGUCGAUUGCUUCAAUAUAAGCACUUACCAUGUGUAGCACACACAAUCAAGAUGCCGUGUAUUGAUGAUAUACUUACAAAAUGUAAGAGAAUAGUGGCAUUCUUCAAAAGAAGCCAGGUUGCCUAUGCUAAAUUUUAGGAAGCACAGGGAGAAAAUCCCUGUACUCUGCUGCAUGAAAUGCCAACUCGCUGGAACAGCGCCUUUGCUAUGAUCAAGCGAAUCUUAAGGACCAACGAGUUUGUGUCUCUGGCUUUAAUGUCUUGCCAUAAUGCUCCUUCGCCAUUUUCUGCAGCAGAAGUUGAUAUUCUCAAAGAUAUAGCCGCUUUGUUGUCUCCCUUUGAAGACGCUACCCUUUUUGUGUCUUCCAAUAGCAAGGUGUCAGUGUCCCUUAUAAUACCUGUAAUAUGCAAACUGCAGCACAAAAUCAAGGAAAUUAAUUUGGAAACAGCAGAGGGAAAACUUGUCUUUGAGUUCAUUAAGACUAGACUCGGGGAAAGACUGGCAGCGUAUGAAACACGCACUAUACCCAGAAUUUCCACCAUUAUAGAUCCCCGUUUCAAAAAACAGGGAUUCCUUAGUUCAUCGAAUGCAGAAUAAGCUGCUAAGGCUGUUCAAGAUGAGCUGUUCAGCAGAAUGUCCGCGAAUCCACAUCAGCCAACACCAACACCAGAACCAAAGUGCACUCUUCCUGGGCAGAUACCAUCAUUUUAUUGAGGCAACACAUAGAAAAGGAAAACCAUCCAGAAAAAUGCGACCCACUUACGUAUUGAGAGAUGACUACCGAUGGUGAAGCAUUAAAGACAUUGGCCAAAAAGUUUUUGUGCGUUCCCGCAUCUUCGUGUGAAUCGGAAAGGGUUUUCAGCAAAGCUAGCCAACUAAUCAGAGACCGUCGCAAAAAUGUAUAAAAAAUGUAUAUCAAAUGAAAAGAAAUAUUUGAAACUUUA